This 236-nucleotide unclassified non-coding RNA is filed under the name Hevea brasiliensis (rubber tree). Lineage: Eukaryota; Viridiplantae; Streptophyta; Magnoliopsida; Malpighiales; Euphorbiaceae. The record is from RNAcentral.
ACGAACUGCAAAUGUUCUUUCACAAAAAAUGACCACCAUUUUGUGGUGAACAGACAAAAAGGAAAGCAGUGGCGUACUGGUACAGUUCAGGGAUCUGACUACACAAUUACCUCAGAAUUUUGCAGCAGAACAAUCUGCCAGGAACAAUUAGAUAUUAUUGUACUGCUGACCAAUUAAGGGCUACAAUGUUGCAUGCUAGCUAUCUUCCGUAAUACACUUUGUUAAGUAUGUGUCUG